RNAcentral lists this ribosomal RNA (701 nucleotides) under uncultured Glomerales. RNAcentral's name for it is "LSU rRNA". It matches the Rfam family "Eukaryotic large subunit ribosomal RNA", at positions 38 to 633 of the family's 3401-position model. The record is from RNAcentral. Lineage: Eukaryota; Fungi; Glomeromycota; Glomeromycetes; Glomerales; Glomeraceae.
GCAUAUCAAUAAGCGGAGGAAAAGAAACUAACAAGGAUUCCCUUAGUAACGGCGAGUGAAGAGGGAAGAGCUCAAAUUUUAAAUCUAUCAUGUUUGUACAUGAUCGAAUUGUAAUUUGAAGAAGCGUUUUCUCGUACUUUAUGCAAUCAGUAUAAGUUCUCUUGGAACAGGACAUCAUAGAGGGUGAUAAUCCCGUCUGUUACUGGUUGUGAGGUUCGUUAUGAUACGCUUUCAAAGAGUCGAGUUGUUUGGGAUUGCAGCUCCAAAUGGGUGGUAAACAUCACCUAAGGCUAAAUAUUUGCGAGAGACCGAUAGCGAACAAGUACCGUGAGGGAAAGAUGAAAAGAACUUUGAAAAGAGAGUUAAAAAGUAUGUGAAAUUGUUGAAAGGGAAACGAUUGAAGUCAGUCGUGCAGUCAUCAAUUCAGCGGUUAACAUUUUAUGUUUCCGUGUAAUUUGGUGUCUGUUGGUUAGCAUCAAUUUUGAUUGUUAUAAAAAGGUUAAGGGGAUGUGGCUCCUUCGGGAGUGUUAUAACCCUUAGCGUAAUGUGACGAUUAGGAUUGAGGUUUGCAACGAAUACCUUUUAGGGCAGUUUCACCUGGCCUCUCGUGGAAUUAUAGAUAGUUAAGAGCAUGCUCUUACUGUCUAUGAUUCUACGAAAAGGUUGGAGUGUAAAACUAAUUCGUUAAGGAUGUUGACGUA